AAGGCAUUAGUGUAGCGGCAGCACGAUGGCAUCCGAAGCCAUAAGACGGGGUUCGAAUCCUCGAUGCUUUGCCA
RNAcentral lists this transfer RNA (74 nucleotides) under Eikenella corrodens. RNAcentral describes it as "tRNA-Arg". It matches the Rfam family "tRNA". From Rfam's summary of the family: Transfer RNA (tRNA) molecules are approximately 80 nucleotides in length. Their secondary structure includes four short double-helical elements and three loops (D, anti-codon, and T loops). Further hydrogen bonds mediate the characteristic L-shaped molecular structure. tRNAs have two regions of fundamental functional importance: the anti-codon, which is responsible for specific mRNA codon recognition, and the 3' end, to which the tRNAs corresponding amino acid is attached (by aminoacyl-tRNA synthetases). tRNAs cope with the degeneracy of the genetic code in two manners: having more than one tRNA (with a specific anti-codon) for a particular amino acid; and 'wobble' base-pairing, i.e. permitting non-standard base-pairing at the 3rd anti-codon position. The record is from RNAcentral. Lineage: Bacteria; Pseudomonadati; Pseudomonadota; Betaproteobacteria; Neisseriales; Neisseriaceae.